AUGAAGGUUGAAAGAGAAAGAAGAUACGCACUUCUGCUUGCAGCAAAGGACUCUGAGUAUGUGAAGAAAGUGUACGGUGGUUACUUCAAUGUGUUUGUGGCAACUUUUGGGGAAGAAGGAGAGAGGUGGGACUUGUUCAGGGUAGUCGACGGUGAGUUUCCGGAAACGAGUGAGCUUCAAGAGUAUGAUGGGUUUGUGGUCAGUGGAAGCCCUUAUGAUGCUUAUGGCAAUGACCACUGGAUUAUAAAACUGUGCUUUCUCUUGCAAACUCUUGAUGCCAUGGAGAAGAAAGUCCUCGGAAUUUGCUUCGGUCAUCAGGUGUUGUGUAGAGCACUAGGAGGAAGAGUUGGGAAAGCUUGUACUGGGUGGGAUAUUGGACUGAGAAACGUGAAGAUUGUGAAGGACAUGAGUCCGUUUAGCUUCCUUGAUGGCUUGGAUGAAAUCCCAUCUGCCCUUUCGAUCAUCGAGUGUCACCAGGACGAGGUUUGGGAAGUUCCUUUGGGUGCUCAAGUUAUCGCCUUUUCAGACAAAACUGGAGUAGAGAUGUUCACCAUUGGAGGUCAUGUUCUGGGCAUCCAAGGCCAUCCAGAGUAUACUAAUGAUAUCCUUUCCAAUCUGAUCGAUCGCCUUCUCAAUAACAACUCCAUUGAGAUAGGUUUUGCUGAAAAUGCAAGGUUCGGACUGCAAAAAGCUGAGCCAGAUAGGAAGUGCUGGGAGAAAAUCUGCAGGAAUUUUCUUAAAGGAAGAUAGCUAGAUUCGAUCACCAGCAAGUGA
Molecule: RNA transcript, 774 nt
Organism: Fragaria vesca subsp. vesca
Lineage: Eukaryota; Viridiplantae; Streptophyta; Magnoliopsida; Rosales; Rosaceae
Gene name: putative glutamine amidotransferase YLR126C-like
Exons: 3
Source: RefSeq, a predicted model, not a curated record